GACACUUUGGCCGAGUGGUUAAGGCGAUUGACUCGAAUGGGCAGCAGUCCGAUCUAUCAAUUGGGAUCUCCCGCGCAGGUUCAAAUCCUGCAGGUGUCG
RNAcentral lists this transfer RNA (99 nucleotides) under Puccinia triticina. RNAcentral's name for it is "tRNA-Ser". It matches the Rfam family "tRNA". Rfam says of the family: Transfer RNA (tRNA) molecules are approximately 80 nucleotides in length. Their secondary structure includes four short double-helical elements and three loops (D, anti-codon, and T loops). RNAcentral also lists the same sequence under 1 other name. Lineage: Eukaryota; Fungi; Basidiomycota; Pucciniomycetes; Pucciniales; Pucciniaceae. The record is from RNAcentral.